This is a long non-coding RNA of Gasterosteus aculeatus aculeatus (three-spined stickleback), 1449 nucleotides long. NCBI's taxonomy places the organism in Eukaryota, Metazoa, Chordata, Actinopteri, Perciformes, Gasterosteidae. The record is from Ensembl.
GCGCUCACAAAACUGACAUGACAAUCAUGUGUCCCUCUCCUAGCGACAGCGGGGUAAUUUCAGGAGAUCUAGCUCCAUUAAUACAUCCUGAAAGGAGGCUCAUCAUUCCAAUUUGCCACAUCCAUUGUCCAAUUAUCCUGCUUCUUCUUAGCCUUGUUUAACCAUGCAGUUUUAAGAAUGUGCCAACGUUUCAUUGCCUACUUUAGCAGCCAGCAGUACAGUUAAUGCAACAAUGAUAGCAAACUGACUAUGACGGUACAUUCACACCAAAAGCAAGGCUUUACUCGCCCUACUAUUCGCAUCUCCUUCAUUCGUGCCAGAAAAGGGGCAUGGCUUAUCUCCGUGGCAUGUCUCCAUAAAGACAGUUAUUACUUCCGCUAAUAUUUGUGCUCUGUACUUGUGGUGGAGAUUCCACAAACGCUGUUGUGUUUGGGUUUAUGACAUCAUCUGUCCCCGCAGUCGCCGGUGAAGUUGACCAACUCCAGGAACUGCGUCUGGAUGACUCCCGCUUCCAGCACUACUUUAGGCUAACCAGUAGCCAGUUUUUAUAACCUGUUUGGUUGGAUCGGAGCCAGGAUCUCUCGGUUGGACACCACCUACAGGCGUUCAAUCUCAGCUGUGGAACACCUAUCUGUCUCUGCAUAUCAAUCCCCCCCUAUGGUUAAGAGUGAGAAGAGACGGCUCCUUCUGUUUCUUCUGUCUCCAUUAGCUCCCUGGUGGAUCCGCCUGAUGUGAAGUGACUGCAGCUGUAAUCUCUCACUAAGUUUGUAUAUUCUUCCACUUGGCAUGAUUUAACAACUUCUCAUACUCUUUACUGAAGACUUUUUUUCGCAGUCGAGCAGUGGUGCAGUGGAAUCAGACAAUGAAUGUUGCAGUAUUGCGGCCUUGCCCGCGCAGACUCAGUAAUGUAGUCGACGGUGCACAAAGCGCUGCUCCCUUUUUCAAACUGCUUAUCCAGGCUGAAUCCAGGAUGCUGGUGAAGACACUGUUUCACAGGACCUUGCAAUACAAAAGAUGAAAAUCUACAGGAACAAGACGAACACGUCGGAGUCCAGACGCCGGUAUCAUGUUGGACGUACUAAAAGUUCUGACUGCACCGAGGGACUUUCCAAGGGCUUGGUGUCUGCUGGUUGGGUUUGCUUAUGCAGUCAAUCUUGCACAUUCAAAGUGUCCCCUUUGACCCUUGGAGUAAAAAAAGGGAAUUGUUGUUACUGAACUCUCAAAUGUGGUUACUGUUUGUUCAAUGCCUGUUUUUUAUAUUUUUAAGAUUCACAUUGAGAAGUUUAGAUUUGGCUCUUGUUUUUCUGGUGUUCAGUUUUAGUAUUGCUAUCUAGUGUUAAUGCUGCUUUAUUUGUGUUGUUCAAAUGUAUAUAAACCAUGCUUAUGUAGUGCAGCUUUUCCCUGUACGUAUUUAUAGAAAUUUGCACAAAUAAAUGUUAACCUGCUGUA